Molecule: ribosomal RNA, 365 nt
Filed under: uncultured eukaryote
Lineage: Eukaryota
Description: partial 18S ribosomal RNA
Rfam family: Eukaryotic small subunit ribosomal RNA
Source: RNAcentral
CAAUAGCGUAUAUUUAAGUUGUUGCAGUUAAAAAGCUCGUAGUCGGAUUUUGGCUGAGAACGAUCGGUCCGCCGUUAGGUGUGCACUGAUUGGUCUCAGCUUCCUGGUGAGGAGGUGUGCUUCACGGCCACUUAGUCACCGUGGUUACUUUGAAAAAAUUAGAGUGUUCAAAGCGGGCUUACGCUUGAAUAUAUUAGCAUGGAAUAACACCAUAGGACUCCUGUCCUAUUUCGUUGGUCUCGGGACGGGAGUAAUGAUUAAGAGGAACAGUUGGGGGCAUUCGUAUUUCAUUGUCAGAGGUGAAAUUCUUGGAUUUAUGAGAGACGAACUUCUGCGAAAGCAUUUGCCAAGGAUGUUUUCAUUGA